This is a non-coding RNA of Heterocephalus glaber (naked mole-rat), 784 nucleotides long. NCBI's taxonomy places the organism in Eukaryota, Metazoa, Chordata, Mammalia, Rodentia, Bathyergidae. The record is from RefSeq and is a predicted model, not a curated record.
UAACAGACUCAGAAAGUCCUGCCAGAAAUCUUUGCUCUCCCCUGCUCCACUGCUCUGCUUUGUGUAAAGUAGGCUUGCUAUAUUUUCAGGGAAAUGCCAAUGGAAUUAAGCUUCAUAAAUGCAAAACAAGGUAUAUAAGCAAGCACAAACUUCUAUUCAGGGCUCUCGAGACUGGGAGUAGUCACUUGCUGAGCCGCUGGCACUAAAAGCUGUUUUUUGCUCCUAUCUUCGUGUUGAGAGAGGUCUGUCGAGUUCACAGUUUCCUGCUUCGCUAUAAACAUGUACUAACAAAAACUAAAAAUUUUUUAAAAUGCGAAGUUCAAGCUGAGCAUGGUGGUGCACACCUGUAAUCCCAGCAGUAGGCAGACUGAGACAAGAGGAUCACCACAUUGUCUAUUAAUCUGUUGAUGAACACUUGGGUUGUGCUAUGCUGUGGCAGAUUCCUUGCCCUCCACGAAAGCUCUGCAAUGAGACUACUGCAGGAGCUGUGACCAGAAUAGUGCAGCCCUACAGGCCUCUACACACCCAGACUGGACCCUUGCUGCAAUGCUCAGGAACAAAAUUGAACUUUCUGGAAGAAAACUGAAGAACAAACACCUGGGAUGAAAUGUGCACAUCAUCUGACAGUACUGGGCAUCUGGGGUGUACAUGGCAGUUACAUCUCCACCUCUGAAGAAGAUGAUCUACUUACCACAAGAAACUGUACCAAACAAGCAAAUGAAGUAAGCUGCUCGCCUGAAUGCAAACAUCCUAAAAAAAAAAAAAAAAAAAGAAAGAAAACAAC